GCGCCCGUAGCUCAGUUGGCUGGCAGAGCAGUGGGACGGUACUCCACGGUCCCGGGUUCAAGUCCCGGCGGUUGCU
Molecule: non-coding RNA, 76 nt
Organism: Phthorimaea operculella (potato tuberworm)
Lineage: Eukaryota; Metazoa; Arthropoda; Insecta; Lepidoptera; Gelechiidae
Source: the annotation of a GenBank genome assembly